GCGGCCUUCUGCCCGAAUCUACGUGUAAUGCCCUCCGAAGGCAGAGGUCGCGCGUUCGAAUCGCGCCGGGUGCACCA
RNAcentral lists this transfer RNA (77 nucleotides) under Aurantiacibacter marinus. RNAcentral describes it as "Erythrobacter marinus tRNA-Arg". Lineage: Bacteria; Pseudomonadati; Pseudomonadota; Alphaproteobacteria; Sphingomonadales; Erythrobacteraceae. The record is from RNAcentral.